RNAcentral lists this ribosomal RNA (1009 nucleotides) under Staphylococcus aureus. Its description in RNAcentral is "bacterial SSU rRNA". It matches the Rfam family "Bacterial small subunit ribosomal RNA", at positions 1 to 991 of the family's 1533-position model. The record is from RNAcentral. Lineage: Bacteria; Bacillati; Bacillota; Bacilli; Caryophanales; Staphylococcaceae.
UUUAUGGAGAGUUUGAUCCUGGCUCAGGAUGAACGCUGGCGGCGUGCCUAAUACAUGCAAGUCGAGCGAACGGACGAGAAGCUUGCUUCUCUGAUGUUAGCGGCGGACGGGUGAGUAACACGUAGAUAACCUACCUAUAAGACUGGGAUAACUUCGGGAAACCGGAGCUAAUACCGGAUAAUAUUUUGAACCGCAUGGUUCAAAAGUGAAAGACGGUCUUGCUGUCACUUAUAGAUGGAUCCGCGCUGCAUUAGCUAGUUGGUAAGGUAACGGCUUACCAAGGCAACGAUGCAUAGCCGACCUGAGAGGGUGAUCGGCCACACUGGAACUGAGACACGGUCCAGACUCCUACGGGAGGCAGCAGUAGGGAAUCUUCCGCAAUGGGCGAAAGCCUGACGGAGCAACGCCGCGUGAGUGAUGAAGGUCUUCGGAUCGUAAAACUCUGUUAUUAGGGAAGAACAUAUGUGUAAGUAACUGUGCACAUCUUGACGGUACCUAAUCAGAAAGCCACGGCUAACUACGUGCCAGCAGCCGCGGUAAUACGUAGGUGGCAAGCGUUAUCCGGAAUUAUUGGGCGUAAAGCGCGCGUAGGCGGUUUUUUAAGUCUGAUGUGAAAGCCCACGGCUCAACCGUGGAGGGUCAUUGGAAACUGGAAAACUUGAGUGCAGAAGAGGAAAGUGGAAUUCCAUGUGUAGCGGUGAAAUGCGCAGAGAUAUGGAGGAACACCAGUGGCGAAGGCGACUUUCUGGUCUGUAACUGACGCUGAUGUGCGAAAGCGUGGGGAUCAAACAGGAUUAGAUACCCUGGUAGUCCACGCCGUAAACGAUGAGUGCUAAGUGUUAGGGGGUUUCCGCCCCUUAGUGCUGCAGCUAACGCAUUAAGCACUCCGCCUGGGGAGUACGACCGCAAGGUUGAAACUCAAAGGAAUUGACGGGGACCCGCACAAGCGGUGGAGCAUGUGGUUUAAUUCGAAGCAACGCGAAGAACCUUACCAAAUCUUGACAUCCUU